CAGAGCCUCUCCCGGGACGGCGGCGCGAGAGCGCACCUGGCGCUGGUGGCGGGUCCGAGGGCCUCGAGCUUAGGGGCUGUUGGUUGCCUUGAAGGUCGAGGACAGGACAGACAUUGAGGAAAUAAUCCAGGUUCAAGGUCUAGGCUGAGCAGGGAAUGUGUCCUUUCCUGGUCUGUUUCUGCACAGAUAAGGAAGUUGAAGCUCCGAAGAUGAAGUAACCAGCCCAAGUUCACAGAGCUCAGCAGAGUAGAGCUUGGAUCAGAUCCUGGUUCAGCCUUGCUCCCACGUCAGGAUCUUUGCCCCAUGCUUACCAGCUGUUUUCCUAGAGGCUUCAUCCUCGGAGCAAGCUUGGGAGGAGAACAGGUGUUAGCUGUCAGCUUGAUAGAUGAGGAAAUUGAAGUAACUUUCCUAAAGUCUUCGGCUAAUAAAUGUUAAAGCAGAGCCUAAAACUGGAAGCCUCACCAAGAUACCUGCAAACCCCUGAGAACAAGACUUGGAAGACUCAACAAGUGUAGGAUGAGAUCAGCCACCUACAAAGAAGCAGGGUUGGCUAAAAAUGGGCUAUCCAAAUGUCUAAGAAAAUGUAAGCCUCUACAUUGCUUGUGGUUUCAGAAGAGCUGUCAUCUGCCCACCCAGCAUCUAAGAGAGGAGUCUAAAAAGAAGGGCUCUGGUGUAAUUCCACAACAGGGACAGACCAACACCCUGGCUUUUUUAGAAGACAGUGUCCUGUUUCGAGGAAUUGGAAACGGCAGCUGAACGUAGCUUGACACAGUGGAGCCAGUAAGAUUAGCCCAGUCAUCCCCCUGGCCUGCGGAGGAACCUCCUGGUGUGGUUUGCCUUCCUGAGUAGCUUUUCUGUGAGCAGAGUCAGCUGGUCAAAUGUCACUGCUUGGCAGUCUUGUUCUUUUAAAGGGAGUGAGUUGACAUCAUGGGUGUGUACCAUUCUCUCAGCAUUUUCAUUACAUUCUUCCUGAGUUAGAUUAACUCCGAAGCAAGGGACCUGAAGAACUGAGAAACGGGUUCUGAGUGAUGUGACUUCGAUAAGAGUCUUACCUAAAUAACCAAACAACUGCCCAUGCGUGUUAAGCUGUCACAGGAAGUGCAAAGCAGCUGCCAGCUAGGGAAGGCAGGGAACACAAUAAAUAUGGGGUCAUGAAACGAGACCCCAGAACAGGGUGGAGGAAAGUUAGAGUUAACUGAACCAAACUAGAAAAGUAGGUGGAACCUGGGACAGGCCAGGAGGGGGACAGAAGGGAGCCCUCGCCCCCACCCCAUACAGCGGAGACCCCAGUGCAGCAGGGGGCCAACUGCACUGGCUUUGGAGAAUCCUCUGAGCUGGCUGGGGACCUCAUACCUCUUCUGCACUUUCUCCUCCUCAUCUGUACGGUGGGCCUCCCUCAAGGUGGAAGGGAUUAAAUGUGAUAAUGAACAUGCUCUCAUUCUAGUGCCUGCCCUAUAAAUGCUCAAUAAGUGCUUUCUGUCAUAAUCCCUAUCCUUUGGGAUUAGACAUUAAACACAGACUCAAAACUGUUGAAACACACUACAGCAUUAAGUACUCUGCUGCACCAGAACCUUGCUGCAACUGUGGUCUGCCUGUGUGCUCUGCUCCAUGGCUGGCACCGUUCUCUCUAGCACCAGAGAGCCCAGGAACAAAGUUGGCCUACAAGUUCUGGGCCCGGGGCAUUUUCAUUUACUGUUUCCUCUUCCUGGAAUGCUCUUGCCCUAGACAGUGACAGGGUUUGCACAUUCAUUUCAUUUAGGCAUCUGCUCAGAUGGCACAUUAUCAGAGAAAAGCUGUGCUUGACCUACCUCUCUAUAGAAAGUAGCAUCUCUACUGCCACCAGGGCCUAGUGCUCUAUUCAUGUUUCCUGCCUGCUUUCUCCCCACACACUCAUUACCCUUGACAUUCAAUCACGAGUUUAUUGUUUCUCCAAGUGGCAUGCACAUGAGAGCAAGCAUUUGAUUUGGGGCUGUGCUCUUCUUUUUAACAUGCCCUCCUCACUUCCUUCUACUCAAAAGCCUAGAAUGGUUGUCCCUUGAAAGAGGUGGGAGGCUCUUCUCAUUCUAUCACCUAAAGGCAGAUACUUGCCAGUUCCAUAUUGUUAUCAUGUAUACACAGAAGAUAGGACACACUUCAUGUGAUGUAAAAAUCUGUGGCCAUGCCAGUUAGGUAGCUGAUGGACAGCAUUCCAGGGAGAAGGAUGGUAAGUGCAAAGGCUCUGAGGUGGGAGCAGACAGCGAGGCUGGAGUAGAGGAGCUGGGGGCUGAAGUAGAAGUUAAUUCCAAGGUUUCUGGUCUAGAUGGUGAAAGAAUAGAAUUGAUGUUUGCUAAAAUGAGUCAGCUCGGGGGAAGAGCAGGUUUUGGGUAUGUGAAGUUUUCAGAUGCUUGCAGUUUGAACGUAUCUGCCACAAAUCCAGUGGCAUACCAAGUGCUUUACAUACAUUAUGCCCAUUGCACAGGUAGGAAAACUGAGGCACCAGAACUUGCAUCUCAGAACAUGUAUAUAGAAAGGCUAGGCUUUGAACCCUGGCUGUCCUCCAAAGGCCUGUCACUGAGAAGUGCUGGUCAUUAAAGGAAGAGCUAAGAGAGGAGACUUGGCUCAUUUUGGAAAAAUCAAUAAUAAUUUGGGUAUGGUGAACUCACAAAGGUCUUUCUGGAUCUGGAAUGGUAACUUUAUGGAAAUUAAAAGGGAGCCUGAUAUCACGGGAAUUUUGGGGCUGCAAUCCCUUUGGCCUCAGCAAGGUUGCUGGCAAAUCCAUUUCCACGUCCAUCAGGCCAUCAUCACAUGAUGCCAAAACAAUGGAAUGAAAUGUGGAAAAUCUGUUUGAGGUUAUUAUCCUGGGUUAUACUCCAAGUUUUCAUAUUUUCUAAGAUUUGCUUAUUUAGAAAUCAUUCACAAAAAUUAGCAUAAAACAGACAAACCUUUCAAGGCCUUGAUACGCAAUAUGGUCUGCAGACCAGCAGCAAGAGCAUCACCUGGGAGCUGCCGGAAAUGCAGAGCCUCAGGUUCCAUCCCAGACUUUUCUUUUUCUUUUUUUUUUUUUUUUUUUAAGAUUUUAUUUAUUUGAGAGACAGAGAGUGAACGAGAGGGAGCAUGAGCGAGGUGAGGGACAGAGGGAGAAGCUGGCUCCCUGUUGAGCAAGGAUCCUGAAACCAGGCUCGAUCCUGGGACUCUGGGAUCAUGACCUGAGCCAAAGGUAGAUAGAUGCUUAACCGACUAAGCCACCCAGGGGCCCCCCAUCCCAGACUUAUUAAGUCAGAACCUGCAUUUAGCAAGAUGCCCAAGGGAUACAGAUGCUCAUUACAAUUUGAGAAGUCCUUGGCCCGGAGCCGACACGGACAAACUUUUUCCGUAAAAGACUAGAUAGUAAAUAUUUCAGGUUUUACUGGCCUGUCACAAUUAUUGUUUUGUUUUUGUGGUGCAAAAGCAGCCACAGAUAACAUGUAAAGGGUUAGUGUGGCUGUGUUCUAAUGAAACUUUUAUGGAUGCCAAAAUUAGAAUUUUAUGUAAUUUUCAUGUGUCAUACUAUUCUUUUUCUUUCAACUGUUUAAAAAUGUAAAGCUCAUUCUUAGCUCAAAGGCUGUACAAAAAGGCACUCAUUUUCUGACUUGCCUUUUGGGGGCUGACCAUGCCCAAGCCUCCUGCCCCUCACUGGGUGAUCCCCUUCUUUCCUCCCUACGGACAUGGGGCUUGGGCUCCCAUCCCCUCAUGACCUAUGUCAGAAGGUUGAUGGCUUAAGCCUAAUAUAAAAAGCCAUAGAAGAGGGGCGCCUGGCUGGCUCAAUCAAGAUCUGACUCGAUCUUGGGGUCAUGAGUUCGAGUCCCAUGUUGGGUGUAGAAAUUACAAAAAGAAUUAUAAACUUUAAAGACACCUAUUUUUGUUUUUAAAGCCAACAGAGGAACUGAGAUUUUAAAAAUAUACUUUUGCUAGUUACCACAAAUACGGGGGAAUCAGUAGCUAAGGGAGGGGGCUUGUGACAUUUAGUGCAUUUGCUCUCUUUUGCUUUUUUUUUUUUUUAAGACUUUAUUUCUUCAGGAGAGAGAGAGAGAGAGAGAGACAGGCAGAGGGAGAAGCAGGUUCCACGCAGGGAGCCAACGUGGGACUUGAUCCGGGGUCUCCAGGAUCAUGCCCUGGGCUGAGGGCAAGUGCUAAACCGCUAAGCCACCCAGGGAUCCCCUCUUUUGCUCUUCUAUUUGUCUAUCUUGCAUUUCAGCUGUUGGGAAGAAGGAACACACAAUGCAGAGGAAAGACAAUUAUUAAAAAAUAACUUUUGGGGAGGGAGUUGGAAGAGGAAAUAAGAAAAGGGAGGUACUCUCCAGGAGAAUAAGAAGAUCGUUCCGCGGUCAGUGGGCUGUGGGGGAGAAUGGAUGACUCGAUAAAUAAAGCAAAUGGUGUCAAGGGCACUUGCUCAAGAGUUUGUGAAGCAAGCUAGGCGGGAGGAGGCUAUGACAAACACAGAGACAGGAGACUGACUGGCAGAGUCGGAUGAAGGCCGAGACCUGAAUUUUAAAAAUCUGUAGUGUAUGUUUAUGGCAACCAACCACUUUUCCAUUUGGUAGGAAUGGGGAGAAGGGGGGAAAUAAGGUUGACUCAACACUUACUAUAGGUCACGUCAGGCAUGGUUGGAAGACAUUUCCCAUCGUUUCAAUUUUAAUUAAAGCAACUCACGGAAUUAGGUGUGCUGGCCAGUUUUUAGAUAGAGAACCCCAGAGGUGAAGAAGCAGGAUUGGAACCGAGUUUGGUCCAGUCACAAAUACUUUAGUAUUUCAUACUGUCCUGCCUAGUGCAAUGUCUAGUGGAAAUACUGCCUUCAUGAAAUUCCUUAUUUAUUCUUAUGAUGAGAAACCCUCAAUUCUCAGGGGUGGGGGAACAAUAUAAAGAGACUGGGCAGAUGACUUGUUUUUCUCUACUGCCCAUACCACCCUGCACCCCCCCCCCCACCCGACCCCGGCAACA
Molecule: long non-coding RNA, 4956 nt
Organism: Canis lupus familiaris (dog)
Lineage: Eukaryota; Metazoa; Chordata; Mammalia; Carnivora; Canidae
Exons: 4
Source: RefSeq, a predicted model, not a curated record